GUUCGGAUUGUUCUCUGCAACUCGAGAGCAUGAAGGCGGAAUCGCUAGUAAUCGCGGAUCAGCAUGCCGCGGUGAAUACGUUCCCAGGCCUUGUACACACCGCCCGUCACACCAUGGGAUUUGGAUUCACCCGAAGGCGCUGCGCCAACCCGCAAGGGGGGCAGGCGACCACGGUGGGUUUAGAGACUGGGGUGAAGUCGUAACAAGGUAGCCGUAGGGGAACCUGCGGCUGGAUCACCUCCUUUCUAAG
RNAcentral lists this ribosomal RNA (250 nucleotides) under Pseudomonas sp. Its description in RNAcentral is "partial 16S ribosomal RNA". It matches the Rfam family "Bacterial small subunit ribosomal RNA", at positions 1291 to 1533 of the family's 1533-position model. Lineage: Bacteria; Pseudomonadati; Pseudomonadota; Gammaproteobacteria; Pseudomonadales; Pseudomonadaceae. The record is from RNAcentral.